RNAcentral lists this ribosomal RNA (478 nucleotides) under uncultured bacterium. Its description in RNAcentral is "partial 16S ribosomal RNA". It matches the Rfam family "Bacterial small subunit ribosomal RNA", at positions 28 to 523 of the family's 1533-position model. The record is from RNAcentral.
GACGAACGCUGGCGGCAUGCCUAACACAUGCAAGUCGAGCGAGCAGAUCCCUUCGGGGUGAAGCUAGCGGCGGACGGGUGAGUAACACGUGGGCAACCUGCCUCAUAGAGGGGAAUAGCCUUCCGAAAGGAAGAUUAGUACCGCAUAAGAUUGUAGCUUCGCAUGAAGCAGCAAUCAAAGGAGCAAUCCGCUAUGAGAUGGGCCCGCGGCGCAUUAGCUAGUUGGUGAGGUAACGGCUCACCAAGGCGACGAUGCGUAGCCGACCUGAGAGGGUGAUCGGCCACAUUGGGACUGAGACACGGCCCAGACUCCUACGGGAGGCGGCAGUGGGGAAUAUUGCACAAUGGGGGAAACCCUGAUGCAGCAAUGCCGCGUGAGUGAUGACGGCCUUCGGGUUGUAAAGCUCUGUCUUCGGGGACGAUAAUGACGGUACCCGAGGAGGAAGCCACGGCUAACUACGUGCCAGCCGCCGCGGUAA